Molecule: ribosomal RNA, 257 nt
Filed under: uncultured bacterium
Lineage: Bacteria
Description: partial 16S ribosomal RNA
Rfam family: Bacterial small subunit ribosomal RNA
Source: RNAcentral
UACGAAGGGGGGCUAGCGUUGCUCGGAAUUACUGGGCGUAAAGGGCGCGUAGGCGGGUCGUUAAGUUAGAGGUGAAAGCCCAGGGCUCAACCCCUGGAAUUGCCUUUAAUACUGUCGACCUUGAGUAUGGCAGAGGUGUGUGGAACUCCGAGUGUAGAGGUGAAAUUCGUAGAUAUUCGGGAAGAACACCAGUAGCGAAGGCGGCACUCUGGGCCGGAACUGACGCUGAGGAGCGAAAGCGUGGGGAGCGAACAGGG